CUCAGCCCAGGUAGAGAUUAAGAGAGUGGGUUGGAUAACACAGAGGGCUUGGCCUCUACUUUUGUUCCUACUUUUUGUUCAUUGAAAGGUUAGUUCCCUUUUCCCCUCACACUGCCUGGACUCCUAAAUUCCGCUCCCCAGGACGCUCCUAAACCCGAGUUCUCAGACCAGCCUGUCCUCCAUGCUCAGGGAGUGCAUGUUCACCUAGGCAGCACAGUGUCCCUGUAUUCUCUUGCUGGCCCCACCCCUCACCAGCCUUGCCAUGGGCGACAAGCAUGGUGUGGACCUGGCUCUGAGCCUGCCCACCUGUGAGGAAACACUCUGUAACAAGCGAGGAAGCUGCGUCACAGUUGACAACUACAUGGGAUGUGACUGCAUGCUGGGAUACCAGGGUCCCAACUGUGCCGACACCGUGAACAAGAAUCUGAGCCUGCCCCUGACGCUGGGGGUGCUGUCUAUCCUCUUCGCCUGCAUCUUCCUCGCCUUCCUCUUGGCUCAUCUGAGCCGAAGACGCAAGGCUCGGCGCAGGGUUGAUGCACUGAAACAGAGUAAUGGUGUGUAGAGAGGUACCCUCAACCCUGGACACUUGUAGGAUACAGUCCUAACUCACGCACCACCCCCUCUGCCUAGCUCCUCCCACCCUCGAACCUCUCACUGUCCUCUCCAGAGCUCAUCAGUCUAGCAUGAAGAAUGGGAUUCAUCAUUUACAAGACAGCUGCUGUUUCUACUUCUAAAGACAACCUGAUUCAUCAAGAACACCUUUUAAUUGCCAAUCAACACUAUAGAUAUGCUUUUAGGUUGAGGUUCUGAACAGAAAGCAUUGUUGCGCUAUAGAUUGGAUCAAAGGGGAAUUUACCGCAGGUGCAGGGGGUGCAUUUGCACCCCCUUCUGUUGGGAUGAAAACAUCAAUAUUUUAAUAAAAAAUGAUGAAAUGUUUUUAGAACAUAUAUCAGAGUUGUAUGUUCUAUGGUUUGUUGUACUCUAAUGAAUAAUUUUAAAUUUUAAGAUCGAGUAUUCAUUUUGAGCAUGUUUUGUAAGCAAAAAUAAGUAAAUCCCCAUACCCUUUGCUCCUCCAGUUUUAAAACCUAGAAUCGCCUAUGGACUGGAUAUUGGAAGCUGUGCAUUUUGGGAAGUGUACUUCUGGUAGCUGUGUCCCUCAAGUGCCUUGCUUGAUCAUCUUAGUACAUCCGUGUCUAGGAAAUGUAGGUCUUGUUUUUCGGUAAACAUUUCACUGAUCUCAGUGUUCUGCCUGAAACACACAGCUCUGUCUCUCUAAACUAUAUCAGAAACGUACAUUCUGCCGCUCCCUGACUGCACCGAAACUGAAUUUGUAAACAAGCUUAUUGUCUGACAGGUGAAGGACAAGAUCUCAACUGGUCUGACUACUGUCAUUCCUCUAGUCAGACGUGAUGCCUGUAUGCAAAACAAACCUAUUUAUAAGAUGACUAAUGUUUCAUGACCUGUCCAAGCAAACAAAGGUUCUUAAUUCCUGUAUAUUUAUUUUUACAAAUUGUAGAAAUAAAGAUGUAUUUUGGACAGAUGCAUUGUUCAUAAAAUGUUGCUUCACAGCUUA
Hypomesus transpacificus is the source of this 1573-nucleotide long non-coding RNA. RefSeq lists it as uncharacterized. The record is from RefSeq and is a predicted model, not a curated record. The transcript has 4 exons. Lineage: Eukaryota; Metazoa; Chordata; Actinopteri; Osmeriformes; Osmeridae.